AGAUUGAACGCUGGCGGCAGGCCUAACACAUGCAAGUCGAGCGGCAGCACGGGUACUUGUACCUGGUGGCGAGCGGCGGACGGGUGAGUAAUGCCUAGGAAUCUGCCUGAUAGUGGGGGAUAACGUUCGGAAACGGACGCUAAUACCGCAUACGUCCUACGGGAGAAAGUGGGGGAUCUUCGGACCUCACGCUAUCAGAUGAGCCUAGGUCGGAUUAGCUAGUUGGUAGGGUAAAGGCCUACCAAGGCUACGAUCCGUAACUGGUCUGAGAGGAUGAUCAGUCACAUUGGAACUGAGACACGGUCCAGACUCCUACGGGAGGCAGCAGGUGGGAAUAUUGGACAAUGGGCGAAAGCCUAGAUCCAGCCAUGCCGCGUGUGUGAAAGAAGGUCUUCGGAAUUGUAAAAGCUAACGUUUUAAGGUUGGGAAGGAAGGGCUAAUUAAACCUAAUUACGGUUAAGUGUUUUUAGAACGUUACGACAAGAAUAAGCAACCGCUAACUCUGUCGCCAGCAGCCGAGUAAC
RNAcentral lists this ribosomal RNA (524 nucleotides) under uncultured soil bacterium. Its description in RNAcentral is "bacterial SSU rRNA". It matches the Rfam family "Bacterial small subunit ribosomal RNA", at positions 26 to 524 of the family's 1533-position model. The record is from RNAcentral.